AGAGUUUGAUCCUGGCUCAGGAUGAACGCUAGCGGCAGGCCUAAUACAUGCAAGUCGAACGGAUUUGGAAGCUUCGGUUUCCAGAUUAGUGGCGCACGGGUGCGUAACGCGUAUGCAACCUACCUUUUACUGGGGGAUAGCCCGGAGAAAUCCGGAUUAAUACCGCAUAACACUAUUUGAGGGCAUCUGAGGAUAGUUAAAGAUUUAUUGGUAAAAGAUGGGCAUGCGUGCCAUUAGCUAGUUGGUGCGGGUAACGGCCCACCAAGGCGACGAUGGCUAGGGGUUCUGAGAGGAUGAUCCCCCACACUGGUACUGAGAUACGGACCAGACUCCUACGGGAGGCAGCAGUAGGGAAUAUUGGGCAAUGGACGAGAGUCUGACCCAGCCAUGCCGCGUGCAGGAUGAAGGCCUUCUGGGUUGUAAACUGCUUUUAUCUAGGAAGAAAAAACUCUUGCGAGAGGAACUGACGGUACUAGAGGAAUAAGCACCGGCUAACUCCGUGCCAGCAGCCGCGGUAAUACGGAGGGUGCAAGCGUUGUCCGGAUUUAUUGGGUUUAAAGGGUGCGUAGGCGGCCCAUUAAGUCCGUGGUGAAAGCCAACAGCUCAACUGUUGAACUGCCAUGGAUACUGAUGGGCUUGAGUACAGACGAGGUAGGCGGAAUGGAUGCUGUAGCGGUGAAAUGCAUAGAUAGCAUCCAGAACCCCGAUUGCGUAGGCAGCUUACUAGGCUGUAACUGACGCUGAGGCACGAAAGCGUGGGGAGCGAACAGGAUUAGAUACCCCGGUAGUCC
This 791-nucleotide ribosomal RNA is filed under the name uncultured bacterium. RNAcentral's name for it is "bacterial SSU rRNA". It matches the Rfam family "Bacterial small subunit ribosomal RNA", at positions 8 to 796 of the family's 1533-position model. The record is from RNAcentral.